This 593-nucleotide ribosomal RNA is filed under the name Streptococcus mutans. Its description in RNAcentral is "bacterial SSU rRNA". It matches the Rfam family "Bacterial small subunit ribosomal RNA", at positions 374 to 958 of the family's 1533-position model. The record is from RNAcentral. Lineage: Bacteria; Bacillati; Bacillota; Bacilli; Lactobacillales; Streptococcaceae.
GACGAAAGUCUGACCGAGCAACGCCGCGUGAGUGAAGAAGGUUUUCGGAUCGUAAAGCUCUGUUGUAAGUCAAGAACGUGUGUGAGAGUGGAAAGUUCACACAGUGACGGUAGCUUACCAGAAAGGGACGGCUAACUACGUGCCAGCAGCCGCGGUAAUACGUAGGUCCCGAGCGUUGUCCGGAUUUAUUGGGCGUAAAGGGAGCGCAGGCGGUCAGGAAAGUCUGGAGUAAAAGGCUAUGGCUCAACCAUAGUGUGCUCUGGAAACUGUCUGACUUGAGUGCAGAAGGGGAGAGUGGAAUUCCAUGUGUAGCGGUGAAAUGCGUAGAUAUAUGGAGGAACACCAGUGGCGAAAGCGGCUCUCUGGUCUGUCACUGACGCUGAGGCUCGAAAGCGUGGGUAGCGAACAGGAUUAGAUACCCUGGUAGUCCACGCCGUAAACGAUGAGUGCUAGGUGUUAGGCCCUUUCCGGGGCUUAGUGCCGGAGCUAACGCAAUAAGCACUCCGCCUGGGGAGUACGACCGCAAGGUUGAAACUCAAAGGAAUUGACGGGGGCCCGCACAAGCGGUGGAGCAUGUGGUUUAAUUCGAAGCA